GGCGCUAUAGCCAAGUGGUUACGGCGACAGAUUAGAAUAAGGCGAUCUUGGAGCACAUUAUGAUCUGUUCCUCUUUGAGGGCGCAGGUUCAAAUCCUGCUGGCGUCG
This is a non-coding RNA of Lentinula edodes (shiitake mushroom), 107 nucleotides long. The record is from Rfam. Lineage: Eukaryota; Fungi; Basidiomycota; Agaricomycetes; Agaricales; Omphalotaceae.